UACAGAGGGGGCAAGCGUUAUUCGGAAUUAUUGGGCGUAAAGGGCGCGUAGGCGGCCUGGCAAAUGGAAGGUGAAAUCCCUCGGCUUAACCGAGGAACUGCCUUCCAAACUGCUUGGCUUGAGUCCGGGAGAGGUGAGUGGAAUUCCCAGUGUAGCGGUGAAAUGCGUAGAUAUUGGGAGGAACACCAGUGGCGAAGGCGGCUCACUGGACCGGAACUGACGCUGAUGCGCGAAAGCGUGGGGAGCAAACGGG
RNAcentral lists this ribosomal RNA (253 nucleotides) under uncultured bacterium. RNAcentral describes it as "partial 16S ribosomal RNA". It matches the Rfam family "Bacterial small subunit ribosomal RNA", at positions 524 to 776 of the family's 1533-position model. The record is from RNAcentral.